This 507-nucleotide ribosomal RNA is filed under the name uncultured bacterium. RNAcentral's name for it is "partial 16S ribosomal RNA". It matches the Rfam family "Bacterial small subunit ribosomal RNA", at positions 28 to 507 of the family's 1533-position model. The record is from RNAcentral.
GACGAACGCUGGCGGCGUGCCUAAUACAUGCAAGUCGAACGCAUUUUCUUUCACCGUAGCUUGCUACACCGACAGAAAAUGAGUGGCGAACGGGUGAGUAACACGUGGGUAACCUGCCCAUCAGUGGGGGAUAACACUUGGAAACAGGUGCUAAUACCGCAUAAUUCCAUUUACCGCAUGGUAGAUGGGUGAAAGGCGCUUUUGCGUCACUGAUGGAUGGACCCGCGGUGCAUUAGCUAGUUGGUGGGGUAACGGCCUACCAAGGCUGCGAUGCAUAGCCGACCUGAGAGGGUGAUCGGCCACACUGGGACUGAGACACGGCCCAGACUCCUACGGGAGGCAGCAGUAGGGAAUCUUCGGCAAUGGACGCAAGUCUGACCGAGCAACGCCGCGUGAGUGAAGAAGGUUUUCGGAUCGUAAAACUCUGUUGUUAGAGAAGAACAAGGAUGAGAGUGGAAAGUUCAUCCCUUGACGGUAUCUAACCAGAAAGCCACGGCUAACUACGUG